Molecule: long non-coding RNA, 1172 nt
Filed under: Phasianus colchicus (ring-necked pheasant)
Lineage: Eukaryota; Metazoa; Chordata; Aves; Galliformes; Phasianidae
Description: lncRNA (ENSPCLG00000016201.1)
Source: RNAcentral
GGUUUUUCAAGGUAUUUAGGCUCCAGAAAUGCAUAUCAUUAAUUGAGUGUUUCCCAAAAUGGCAAAGUAAGCUGGGAAUGAGCCUACUGCUGGCUAUCAGUAGCAGCCAUGCUGCUUUAUUGAUUUGUGAGCAGAAACAAAAAACAAAAGCCAUAUAGAAAAAGGGAAGGUAAAUGUAAGAGAGGUGGUUAUACAAAGAGAGAUGGAAAUUGCCCAAGUUUGCAUCUCUGGCUGUUAUCAAUACACACUUGGAAAACCCACUUCUGUGGACUAUGGCUUGUAAUUUAAUUCUGCGUGGCAGAUCUGGGACUCUGGGGAGCAAUAAUACUACAGGACUCAUCAGGCUUACUGGAGAUAAAUAACAUAAUUUUUAUUGUCCUAAUAACUUUGUGGACUGGCUAUCCCCCUCUAAUUAAAGCCCUUGAACCUCCUUCUGCACGGAAUCACUGAGGCAUCCCUUAAUACUACAGCUCCAUGGACAACCUUAUCCCCAUGGAGACAGAACAAAAUUGCUUUUUUACAUCACUGAACUGUCACAGCUCCACUAUGCUCAUACAAAGCAGCACUUUGGAUUUUCAGACCGGGAAUACUAUGCACUUUUCUCACAGAUGGCAACAACAUCAGAAAGGAAAAAAUCUGCCUUUAAAACAUCAACAUGUUCGUGCCUGUGCUGCGACUUUGAGCUUGUUAGCCACCUCCUUUGAAACUCUUCCUUGUUGCAUUGAUCCAGUUGCAGAGAUGCUCAUGACAGGACAGCCUCACUAUUCCCAGCUGCCUGCAAAGGAUCUAUCUACAUGGCACGCUAAUUUUUCCUCGCUUAACAGAUUAAUUACAUGAAUGCAAAGAAUGUUGUUGGUGUUCAGCUACAGUCUGAAAAAGGAAAGGAGUUUGGAGUAGUGACUGAGCAAUGGUUGAGGCUGUGUGUGUAUGAAUUAUAUUCUAGCCAUGUUCGUUGAUUUAAACAGCAGACCUGCACAAGAGAAAAUCUGGAUAUCCCUUCACUAGAGGACCACAAACCAGGUUACUGGUUUCAGUCCUUCCUAUCAUUUUCUUUCACAAGCAAGUGUAAUGGAAAUGCUAAGUCAUGGCUUGAACCAGUGAUUGAGCACCUGGUGGGAAGGCAGGGCCAACCCAGGGGACCUCAGGUGCAUGCAAUGUACUUGAGUGACCAG